Molecule: ribosomal RNA, 493 nt
Filed under: uncultured bacterium
Lineage: Bacteria
Description: bacterial SSU rRNA
Rfam family: Bacterial small subunit ribosomal RNA
Source: RNAcentral
GAUAAACGCUGGCGGCACACAUAAGACAUGCAGGUCGAACGAACUUAACCUUAAUAUUUAUAUUGAGGAGCGGCUAGUGGCGGACGGGUGAGUAACGCGUGAGCAAUCUGCCUUCAAGAGGGGGACAACAGCUGGAAACGGCUGCUAAUACCGCAUAACAUAUAUUUGUGGCAUCACAGAUAUAUCAAAGGAGAAAUCCGCUUGAAGAUGAGCUCGCGUCCCAUUAGCUAGUUGGCGGGGUAGAGGCCCACCAAGGCGACGAUGGGUAGCCGGACUGAGAGGUUGAACGGCCACAUUGGGACUGAGACACGGCCCAGACUCCUACGGGAGGCAGCUGUGGGGAAUAUUGCGCAAUGGGGGAAACCCUGACGCAGCAACGCCGCGUGAUUGAAGAAGGCCUUCGGGUUGUAAAGAUCUUUAAUCAGGGACGAAGGAAGUGACGGUACCUGAAGAAUAAGCUCCGGCUAACUACGUGCCAGCCGCCGCAGUAAAA